Molecule: ribosomal RNA, 486 nt
Filed under: Goniothalamus cheliensis
Lineage: Eukaryota; Viridiplantae; Streptophyta; Magnoliopsida; Magnoliales; Annonaceae
Description: eukaryotic LSU rRNA
Rfam family: 5.8S ribosomal RNA (bases 5-160)
Source: RNAcentral
GGACGACUCUCGGCAACGGAUAUCUAGGCUCUCGCAUCGAUGAAGAACGUAGCGAAAUGCGAUACUUGGUGUGAAUUGCAGAAUCCCGCGAGCCAUCGAGUCUUUGAACGCAAGUUGCGCCCGAGGCCACUCGGCCGAGGGCACGCCUGCCUGGGCGUCACGCACCGCGCUGCCCGCACCCCCAGCACGGAUGGGGCUGCGGGCGAAGAUUGGCCGACCGUGCGCUUAGGCGCGCGGCGGGCUGAAAGCUAGGCAGCGCCCUCGGAGGGGCGUCAGCACGGCGUUGGGUGGUGAGGACGGCUCGCGGAGUCGCUCCAAUCGGACGCCGCGUUGGUCGCCCUCCCCGGGGGCACAAGGGCGCACCGCGACCGCGUCGCGACCCCAGGUCAGGCGGGGCCACCCGCCGAGUUUAAGCAUAUAAAUAAGCGGAGGAGAAGAAACUUACGAGGAUUCCCCUAGUAACGGCGAGCGAACCGGGAAGCGCCC